GGAGAAGUCCAUUAAUCAAGAAGUUUUCCUCUCUGGUGUGAUCCGCAAGUCUUUCAUUACUCAAGAAGUUUUCCUCUUCAUUGAUGAUCUGAAUAAAAUUUAGUUGUUACAAAAUUUGGAACACCCAAUAGGACUAUCUUUACCUCUCAUCUCUUCUCUUCCAAGUUCAAAACUACUAAGAAGACCGCAAUGAAGAUCUACUCCAGAUCCCAUACUACUAAGGAGGCUCAAUCAAAAAUGAAUUUAAAGUUACCUUGAAGAUUGCUGGCCAAAUCAAGAGGAGUGAAGCUGAAAUAGUAGGAAUACAAGUGUUGCAAGUACCAUUCAAGUCAUCUCAUGUUUCCGCAUAAUAUUCUUUGAAAGAAGGGAUAUCCUCUUCAUACAUGCUAGAAGAAGGGAACAGUAUUGCUCAUGUGGUAGAAAGAACUUUGGCUUGACUCAGCCUGUCAAAAGAACGAUAUUUCUUGUCCAACAACAACCGCAUCAUGCAAAAAGAAGAUAAUAUUUUGAGCUCUAGAUUUACUCCAGUAUUCCAUCAUAUCCCUCUUCAAUCAAAGCUUUAUUUAAGUAAUGAUCCAUACUAUUCUUCA
Long non-coding RNA from Nicotiana tabacum (common tobacco), 590 nucleotides. RefSeq lists it as uncharacterized. The record is from RefSeq and is a predicted model, not a curated record. Lineage: Eukaryota; Viridiplantae; Streptophyta; Magnoliopsida; Solanales; Solanaceae.